Molecule: long non-coding RNA, 731 nt
Organism: Brachypodium distachyon (stiff brome)
Lineage: Eukaryota; Viridiplantae; Streptophyta; Magnoliopsida; Poales; Poaceae
Exons: 2
Source: RefSeq, a predicted model, not a curated record
AAGUCAAAAACUAAGCUUCUCCAUCAACUUGACACCAAAUGUCAACGCUUCUUGGCAUGAUACGCAGUUUCGACGGGAGACAGACAACAUACUACUAGAGGGGAAGGGAGAGAGGGGGUUCGCCUCCUCCGCUGCGUCAAACUCAGCUAGCGCGACGAUUGUUCGAUCGGCACGAAGGCGUACUCGGCGGCGCCACCUCCGCCUCCGCCGAUGCGAGGCCCCAGUUCUGUCUUGGCUAGUCUUCAGCGCGCUCUAGGAUGGGGCGGACGCGUCCAUCGCCGGGUAGCACGGUGGUUGCGCUACUGGUGCUAUAGUGUGGACCAGCCAACACAUGCAAUGCAUGCACGCAUGCGAAGAAGCGAAGGAUUAAGUGAUCGAUGGAGACACGGAGUGAUCGUAAUCCGGCUGUCCGGCAACUAGUUAGUUGUUGAUCGAUCUCUCAGGGGAAACGAUGCAGUUGUUGUCGUUGCUUCUGAGCAAAUCAAGCGCGGCCGGCCGGUGUGGUGAUCGUGCAUUCAGUCCCUCAACCGUCAGUACUGCGACGGUUCUUCAAAGGAAAACGAGAAUCAAUACUGCAACGACUAAAAUGAAUGUUGCACUUGUACGCGCGUACUCGAUUUGUCUGUAUGCUUGCUACCUCCGUCCAAGGGCGUAUUAGCUUUCCUUUGAUCAAUGUUUUGACCACAAAUUACUCUAUUAAUAUAUAAUUAUAUAACAUAGAUUCAUAUUCA